AAAAUACUUGCUAUGGGAAUACCGACGUUCAGACAAUAUGCCAAAUACGUUUUUAAAAAGACACUCAUUUCGAAUGUUUCUGGUAUUGUUUCAACCAAAUCGAUAAAGAAGGCCCUCUGGAAAUCAUUGGUGUUCGUUGCAUGCAUAAUAGGAUUCUUUUACCAAACUGGCGAUUUUCUAAAUUUGUAUUUUACCUAUCCAACAAUUGUUAACGUGGAAGAAAGUAACCCGUUUGAAGUAGUUCUUCCAGCUAUAACUAUUUGUAGCAAUAACAGAUUCAGUCGGCAAGUUUCAUGUGAAAAACACGGUAAUUGGUGCACAUUUUAUGAGAAUGAUGACUUUUGUGAAACAUAUUCUCGAUUUUGUAACACACCCAAUAAUUAUUACAAAAAAAUUCCUCAAAAUGUUUUUAAACAGUUUGAGGAGAAUAAUAAAUCCUGGGACGUUGCAGAUGAAUUAUUUCCAAAGCAGCCAAUCAUUCGUGAGUGCCGGAUGGGUACAAGCAUAAAAAGUUAUGAGUGCAAUGGCCUGAGCCAUACGAAUCAACAAAUGAAAAUUCCUUUUUUGAGUGUAGACAAUAAACCGUCAUACUGCUACGUAAUAGCAUCCCAGCUUCAUCAGCCAGAUUCUCAAGAAGAAAUAUAUCCGAAUUCAUUGUAUUAUGAUAUAAAACUGAAUACUUAUGCUGAAGACUACUUCUUCAUCGAUUCUCCGGUUGUAUUGUAUAUUGCAGUCCAUAAUAGAAAAGAUCUGGUAAACCCUUUCAGGAAAGGAGUGACUCUUAAAGGCGGUCACGGAUAUCGAGCCUUUGUUUCAAUGGCUGAAGUAGAACGACUCCCUUAUCCAUAUAGUACUAAUUGUACAGAUUAUAUCAAGCUCUGGCGGGAAAAUGGUGGCAAAGGACCGCUAACUCAAGUAGAAUGCAUUGAAUAUUGCAAAUUAAAUUUCAUAAAAUCUAUUGGAGAGUGUGUGGAUGAACAUAUAUCUUAUUCUCACUUAGAAGAACUCUGUGCAACAGGUCAUGAAACUAUUACCUAUGACAUUAUCAAGGAUUGUUUUAAGCAAUGCCAGCCAGCAUGUGUGGAAAACUCAUACGAAGUCACCUAUGAAGAACUUGAACUUGAUUCUCAAAAUACUUCAAGAAGUUGAUAUAAAGUUUUCGUUUCGCCAGUUUCAACUGACACGGCAAGUUUUUCAACCUAAAUUUGAUAGCAUUGAAGUUUUCAGUUAUGUUGGUGGUUAUAUGGGCAUUUGGUUAGGUAUAAGCUUGGUAUCCAUAUUUGACGUUUUGGAAUCCAUCAUGAUGUUACUUUGCUUUUGGAUAAGGACCAAAAAAAGAAGGAAAAAAC
This 1349-nucleotide unclassified non-coding RNA is filed under the name Parasteatoda tepidariorum (common house spider). Its description in RNAcentral is "uncharacterized LOC107439308". Lineage: Eukaryota; Metazoa; Arthropoda; Arachnida; Araneae; Theridiidae. The record is from RNAcentral.